AACGAACGCUGGCGGCAGGCCUAACACAUGCAAGUCGAACGCGCGUAGCAAUACGCGAGUGGCGCACGGGUGAGUAACACGUGGGAACCAACCCAGAGGUUCGGAAUAACCGCGGGAAACUGCGGCUAAUACCGGAUAUCCCCCAAGGGGGAAGAUUUAUCGCCUCUGGACGGGCCCGCGUCCGAUUAGCUAGUUGGUGAGGUAAUGGCUCACCAAGGCGACGAUCGGUAGCUGGUCUGAGAGGACGACCAGCCACACUGGAACUGAGACACGGUCCAGACUCCUACGGGAGGCAGCAGUGGGGAAUAUUGGGCAAUGGAGGCGAACUCUGACCCAGCCAUGCCGCGUGGGUGACGAAGGUCUUCGGAUUGUAAAGCCCUUUCGGCGGGACGAUGAUGACGGUACCCGCAGAAGAAGCCCCGGCUAACUUCGUGCCAGCCGCCGCCGUAAU
Molecule: ribosomal RNA, 451 nt
Filed under: uncultured bacterium
Lineage: Bacteria
Description: bacterial SSU rRNA
Rfam family: Bacterial small subunit ribosomal RNA
Source: RNAcentral